GCAAGUCGAGCGCGAAAGCACUUCGGUGUGAGUAGAGCGGCGGACGGGUGAGUAACGCGUAGGAAUCUACCUGGUAGUGGGGGACAACCUGGUGAAAACCAGGCUAAUACCGCAUACGCCCUAAGGGGGAAAGCGGGGGAUCUUCGGACCUCGCGCUAUUGGAUGAGCCUGCGUUGGAUUAGCUAGUUGGUGGGGUAAAAGCCUACCAAGGCGACGAUCCAUAGCUGGUCUGAGAGGACGAUC
RNAcentral lists this ribosomal RNA (243 nucleotides) under uncultured bacterium. Its description in RNAcentral is "partial 16S ribosomal RNA". It matches the Rfam family "Bacterial small subunit ribosomal RNA", at positions 57 to 305 of the family's 1533-position model. The record is from RNAcentral.